GGACCAAACCAAGUGGGUGAUGUGGACCACACGUAUGCAACUGUUUGGCCCUGGCUGCUUGGUCUUGACUGCGGUUUUCUUGUCUGAUCUAAGAACUAUUUGGUAUAUACCCAGAAAACCAAAAAUCACAAUAUAACAAAGACAUCUGUACCAGAAUGUUUAUUGCAGCCUAAUUCAUAAUUGUUAAGUCAUGAAAGAAGCCCAAGUGCCCAUCAACCCACAAAUGGACUAGCAAAUUGUGGUACAUGUAUACCAUGGAAUAUUAUGCAGCCUUAAAGAAAGAUGGAGACUUUACCUCUUUCAUGCUUACAUGGAUGGAGCUGGAACAUAUUCUUCUUAGCAAAGUAUCGCAAGAAUGGAAGAAAAAGUAUCCAAUGUACUCAGCCCUACUAUGAAGCUAAUUUAUAGCUUUCCUGUGAUGACUAUAACCCAACUAUAGCACAAGAAUAUGGGGAAAGGGCCAAGGGAGGGGAAGGGAGGGGAGA
Nycticebus coucang (slow loris) is the source of this 485-nucleotide long non-coding RNA. RefSeq lists it as uncharacterized. The transcript is spliced from 3 exons. NCBI's taxonomy places the organism in Eukaryota, Metazoa, Chordata, Mammalia, Primates, Lorisidae. The record is from RefSeq and is a predicted model, not a curated record.